Molecule: ribosomal RNA, 443 nt
Filed under: uncultured bacterium
Lineage: Bacteria
Description: partial 16S ribosomal RNA
Rfam family: Bacterial small subunit ribosomal RNA
Source: RNAcentral
CCUACGGGAGGUAGCAGUGGGGGAUAUUGGACAAUGGGGGGAACCCUGAUCCAGCGACGCCGCGUGAGUGAAGAAGUAUUUCGGUAUGUAAAGCUCUGUCAGCAGGGAAGAAAGAAAUGACGGUACCUGACCAAGAAGCCCCGGCUAACUACGUGCCAGCAGCCGCGGGAAUACGUAGGGCGCAAGCGUUAUCCGGAAUUACUGGGUGUAAAGGGAGCGUAGACGGUUAAGUAAGUCUGGAGUGAAAGGCCGGGGCCCAACCCCGGGACUGCGCUGGAAACUAUUGAACUUGUGUGCAGUAGAGGUAAGCGGAAUUCCUAGUGUAGCGGUGAAAUGCGUAGAUAUUAGGAGGAACACCAGUGGCGAAGGCGGCUUACUGGACUGUAACUGACGUUGAGGCUCGAAAGCGUGGGGAGCAAACAGGAUUAGAUACCCGAGUAGUC